This is a long non-coding RNA of Ziziphus jujuba (common jujube), 811 nucleotides long. RefSeq lists it as uncharacterized. Lineage: Eukaryota; Viridiplantae; Streptophyta; Magnoliopsida; Rosales; Rhamnaceae. The transcript has 2 exons. The record is from RefSeq and is a predicted model, not a curated record.
GAUUUUUUAUGCCACGUGGUGAUGGCUGAUUGGGAGAAUCCGUUAAGAUUAGAUACUUUAUCAGAAAACCACAAUAAUCUUCUAGAAUCUGCUCCACAAUACAUAUUUGGGAUAAUUGUACUGCAUAAAUUCCGAACACCAUUUCUAUCCAUUAGAGAAAUUUAAUCUUAAUAAGGGCAUUUAAAUAUUUUUAUAUAUUUGAAUUUGGACCGACAUAUCAUUAAAAUAUAGUUAUUUUAUUUUCUCUCUCUCUUUAUCUUGCUCCGUCCUCAUAAAUUUCCUUUGUUAUUCAAACAUUUUGAAGAUUAUAACAUGUAUUUUUUACAAUGGUUGAAAAACAGAGCCCUGAGGAAGAGCUUGUAGAUUUGUCUUCACUGUUGCAUGAUCAUCGCCUAACGAAGGAAAUGUGAACAGAUAAAAAAUUCUCUGCUAUGUAGAUCACGUACUGGCCAGCAAGAGGGAAAACAUGAGAUAUUGUAACAUUGAAUACAAAAACGCGGUGCAGUCUUCUCAAACUUACAUUUAUGGAGGAAUUUCUUAUUGCUGGAUUUUGUUGUAUACUUCAUUGUCAUUUUCUUCUCUAAUCCUGUUAGCCGACCUAAAAACUAAUAUGUCAGACUAACACCGAGUUUUUGUGGCACAUAUGCCCCUCUUUUGUAUAAGACCAGUGUAGGACAUGUAGAUGGAGCACUAAUAGCGUGGGUAAUCUGGUUUCUCUUUGUAUCUUUGCAAAUUCGUUCGUUUCAACUUAUUUACUAACAUAUUCUCUUUAAAAACUUACAUAAAUGAAAUGGGUGCAAAUUACUUCUAA